RNAcentral lists this ribosomal RNA (510 nucleotides) under uncultured bacterium. Its description in RNAcentral is "partial 16S ribosomal RNA". It matches the Rfam family "Bacterial small subunit ribosomal RNA", at positions 28 to 507 of the family's 1533-position model. The record is from RNAcentral.
GACGAACGCUGGCGGCGUGCCUAAUACAUGCAAGUCGAACGAAACUUUCUUACGCCGCAUGCUUGCAUUCACCGUAAGAAGUUGAGUGGCGGACGGGUGAGUAACACGUGGGUAACCUGCCUAAAAGAAGGGGAUAACACUUGGAAACAGGUGCUAAUACCGUAUAUCUCUAAGGAUCGCAUGAUCCUUAGAUGAAAGAUGGUUCUGCUAUCGCUUUUAGAUGGACCCGCGGCGUAUUAACUAGUUGGUGGGGUAACGGCCUACCAAGGUGAUGAUACGUAGCCGAACUGAGAGGUUGAUCGGCCACAUUGGGACUGAGACACGGCCCAAACUCCUACGGGAGGCAGCAGUAGGGAAUCUUCCACAAUGGACGCAAGUCUGAUGGAGCAACGCCGCGUGAGUGAAGAAGGUCUUCGGAUCGUAAAACUCUGUUGUUAGAGAAGAACACGAGUGAGAGUAACUGUUCAUUCGAUGACGGUAUCUAACCAGCAAGUCACGGCUAACUACGUG